RNAcentral lists this ribosomal RNA (443 nucleotides) under uncultured bacterium. RNAcentral describes it as "partial 16S ribosomal RNA". It matches the Rfam family "Bacterial small subunit ribosomal RNA", at positions 338 to 795 of the family's 1533-position model. The record is from RNAcentral.
CCUACGGGAGGCAGCAGUGGGGAAUAUUGGGCAAUGGAGGAAACUCUGACCCAGCAACGCCGCGUGAAUGAUGACGGUCUUCUGAGUGUAAAGUUGUUUUCUAAGGGAGGAAGAAAGUGACGGUACCUUAGGAAUAAACCUCUGCUAACUACGUGCAACCGGCCGCGGUAAUACGUAGGACGCAAGCGUUAUCCGGAAUGAAUGGGCGUAAGGGGUGCGUAGGUGGUUUGACAAGUUGGUAGCGUAACUCCGGGGCUCAACCUCGGCACUACUACCAAUACUGUUGGACUUGAGUGCAGGAGCGGCAAAUGGAAUUUCUAGUGUAGCGGUGGAAUGCGUAGAUAUUAGGCGGAACACCAGUGGCGAAGGCGGCCUGCUGGACGACAACUGACGGUGAGGCGCGAAAGCGUGGGGAGCAAACAGGAUUAGAUACCCUGGUAGUC